GGGGAGCAAGAUAUUAGUACCAGCAGAUAUCUUGGAGAAAGAAGUGUUUGUCUAUCCAUAUGUGGAGUACUCGGCUUGAAAUAGACCAGAUAUGUUUUAAUGGAGAAAGAAGUGUUCGUCUAUCCAUAUGUGGAGUACUCGGCUUGAAAUAGACCAGAUAUGUUUUAAUGGAGAAAGAAGUGUUCGUCUACAUGCAGUGUAAGGAACAGAGGUUUCCAAAGCUUGUUGAUUAUGAGAAAAUUGAUAAGAGUGCAUUGCUUCUGUUACCAGCAAGAAUGACAUUUAUUUUUCUAAUAUUCCCUAGCACAGUGACUGAAAUUCUCACAAACGAUAAUUUGAAUGUACA
This 346-nucleotide unclassified non-coding RNA is filed under the name Hevea brasiliensis (rubber tree). The record is from RNAcentral. Lineage: Eukaryota; Viridiplantae; Streptophyta; Magnoliopsida; Malpighiales; Euphorbiaceae.